GUGCUCGCUUAGGCAGCACAUAUACUAAAAUAGGAAUUAUACACAGAAGAUUAGCAUGGUCCCUGCACAAGGAUGACAUGCAAAUUUGUGAAGCGUUCCAUAUUUUA
Molecule: small nuclear RNA, 107 nt
Filed under: Ochotona princeps (American pika)
Lineage: Eukaryota; Metazoa; Chordata; Mammalia; Lagomorpha; Ochotonidae
Source: RNAcentral